UCUACGGGCGGCAGCAGUGAGGAAUAUUGGUCAAUGGGCGCGAGCCUGAACCAGCCAAGUAGCGUGAAGGAUGACUGCCCUACGGGUUGUAAACUUCUUUUAUAAAGGAAUAAAGUGAGGCACGUGUGCCUUUUUGUAUGUACUUUAUGAAUAAGGAUCGGCUAACUCCGUGCCAGCAGCCGCGGUAAUACGGAGGAUCCGAGCGUUAUCCGGAUUUAUUGGGUUUAAAGGGAGCGUAGAUGGGUUGUUAAGUCAGUUGUGAAAGUUUGCGGCUCAACCGUAAAAUUGCAAUUGAUACUGACAGUCUUGAGUACAGUUGAGGUAGGCGGAAUUCGUGGUGUAGCGGUGAAAUGCUUAGAUAUCACGAAGAACUCCGAUUGCGAAGGCAGCUCACUAAACUGCCACUGACAUUGAUGCUCGAAAGUGUGGGUAUCAAACAGGAUUAGAUACCCUAGUAGUC
RNAcentral lists this ribosomal RNA (460 nucleotides) under uncultured bacterium. Its description in RNAcentral is "partial 16S ribosomal RNA". It matches the Rfam family "Bacterial small subunit ribosomal RNA", at positions 338 to 795 of the family's 1533-position model. The record is from RNAcentral.